AAUUUCCAACCAUUCCCGAAUGGCAUGGAAGCUGCUGGCAUCAUUCAGGGUUAUUUUGUGCUCUCCUGUCAUGGCUAAAAAGGUUGACUCCGAUUGUGACACAGAUCGAGUAACCUAAGACACAAUGGAUCAUGAAGACAGAGAUGGAGACUGAGGAACAAAACAAAAAAGUCUGUCACUCCACUCUGUCCAUACAUACUGCAGUGUGCGUGAUCAACUCAGUCAUGUGCUCUCACAAGUCUGGGCCGAUGCCUAAGGUAAAAAGAGGCUCUCCCCCUUGUUACAACGGGGUUGGUGCUUCUGCUUUGUACUGUAUACGAUGCUUGUGUAUCAUAAUGUAGCUGCUCCUUACCUGGUCCCCCUCAUCAAGCCUGCUUUGCUCUAUAAAAAAAAAAAACAAAAAAAAAUCAUCCUGUGAUGUUCUUCAAUGUUAUGCACUGUGUAAGACCAAACAAUCUUUCUCAGAUUAUGGAUCCUUACUCGUUCUGAUAAGAGUUGUUCAUGUCAGUGUUUCACAGAAUUCGGUGAAGAUAAAGAAACCCAGAAUCAUGUCAAUGUUUCACAGUCCUCAGCAGUAAACCAUAAAAAUGCUACUAAGAAAUCUGAAGCUGACGUUAAAUACAAACAUGUCAAACAACAAGAAUCUCUGAAAAUAUCUGCUUGAUCUAAAAUAAUACCAAGUUUAAAUUUUGUAGUGAAAAAUGCUUUAAAUGAAACAAAAAUUGGUAGAUUUUCACAAAUAUGGCCAACAGUUUUUUUUUCAGUGGUUGCAGUUCAGAAAAAUGUGCAGCAUAGUAUCACGUCUUUUUAAUUGUGGGGCUAAAAUAAUAUUCAUGAAAGGCAAAUUAUUGUCACUGUAUCUUUUUAAAUGGAGUUGUGUGUUAUAUGUAGAGUGUAAUUGCCUCCAUCAGUGGUCAAAGAGCACAGAGAAUCUGAGCUAAAGUUAAAACAGGACAGAACACAGAGCUGCGGAGUAGACAAUGCAGAGCAACACAGAGUUCAGAAAAUAGUGACAGAGAAAAUAGCAAUCUGAUGUGAAAGUGAAAUUGUGUGACACUAUUAAGACCUGAUUAAGUACACUGAGAAGAUAAAACUUGUAACAGAAAAGUCCAUUUGGCUACAUACAAAGACAAUAGAAAUAUGUUGGACAUGUUUGUGAAAAAAACUUUUUUUUAUUGCAUUUGGAAAAUCAUUUGGACACAUCCUUUGCCAUCAUUAUCACACUGUAUGGUUUUAUAACGUAGCCCUAAAAGUAAGGAAAUAUGUGUUAAGUGGAUUAUUUGUCCUCCUUGCUGGGACCUCUGUAGCGUGUGGAAGAUCCCUAUGAAGCCACAACAGCUUGUCACCUCCUCCUCAUUGUGGUCAUCAGACUGGCUACAUUUUGCUAUGGGAUGGCAUCCCAUUCCUCAACUAGGAGUUGCUGAACAUUACCCAGCAUGGUUGUGUCGGCCAUUUUGGCACAUACAACAUGCCCAUGCUGUGAUCGCAUAAAGUAUUCAGUUGGCUUGAGGUCAGGACUUAGAGCAGGUCACCCAGCCUCUUCUCUACCAACAUCUGGACGUACUCUGUGAUGAUCCUGGCUCUGUGGACAUACAUUCAUACAUUCUUAUACAACUAUCAGUUAGAUGCUAAUCAGGUCACAGUCAUACAUCUGAGACUGGUACACACCUGGCAGCACUUAAAUCCCAAAAGAAGAGUGAAUACCAACAGGAAAAUAUUGCAGGGACAUUUUCCCUAUUUUUAAGGGGGUACUACCCACACACUUAGCUGUGUUGCUCAUUUCACAAAUGCAUGAUAUAUCUCAUUUUAAAGGUGACUAAUCAGGCAUUCACACAAUGUAGAAUACAACAUCAUAUAGUAUUAUAAUUCACUAAACUCAAAUUUCCUUACUUUUUGUGCAAACUUUGUAUCUGCCUUGAAAUUCUGAUACUGCAAAUUAAAGUGAAUAGUGCCAAUUGGGUAUGUUUAUCCGUCCAUCUGUGUGGACAGGCCUUGUAUUUCAUUUCAGAGAAUCUUUAAUAGCUGCCACAGCCUCUAAAGAAAUGCCUGUGUGACUUUUUCAUUUCUGAGGACUGUACUUAACAUUGCUCUGCUGAAGGAAGCUCAGCUGUACCUUAUCUCUGUACCCCGUGUGGGCCCUUGUGUGUAUUUUUCAAGAUGUAGCAGAGAUAGAUAGGGCGGUUCAGUCCAACGCCGUCCAUUUGGAUUUCAGUAGACCUCAAAUACCCUUUUCUUAUUAUAUGUCAUCUCUGAAUUAAUUUUUAAGUGUUUCAAUUAAAUUGCAACUGCUUUGAUAAACUUCUCUUAGCACAGUAGCAUUUUCGUGCUUCUUAAAUGGGAUGCUUGGAAAUGCCCACACUUUAAUGGACACUAUUAAUGUUACAGUUAAGGGCUUAAUUUGUUGGUCAAGAUAAGGGCCGAGGUAUCCCAAGCAUCCCUCUGUUUUUAUAGAGCUACAGCAAAAUCAUUUCUGGCCCGACUCAGUUGUCAGUGCCAGCUAUUAUCCUGACUCAAACCUCUUUACAACUGAGAAGUGCCUUGAUGUUGAUUUUUAUAUUUAUAUAUAAAAAAAACUCAGUCAACGGACAUCCAACCCACUUGUGCUUGUCUCUUUUUCUCUUUCUCUCCUUUCUCUGUAUUCACAGUUCUAAACAGACCAACCUGUGUGUCAGGAAAACGAUAUCCUCACACACAAUGAGAGAGAGAACGAACAUUAAAAGUUCAAACUGCGCAAAAUGGUAAAGAGUGAUUUGUCUAUGGGGUUAAGAGAGAUUUCUGUCUACCUGUCUCUCAAUACUCCUGUAGCUUUUCACUCUCAUGGUCAGUUGUUCAGCUGAAAAAUGGAUCGAUAAGAGUUGAAGCUCUCCGUGCCAAGUGACUCCUCAUAAAUGGAUACUUAAACUUUUUUUAAGACUUUUUUUUUUUUUGUGGGGGGUGGUGGGAUGAGUUGAGGAAGCCAAACGGGCUCGGUGUUUAAAGUGAGAAAAUGAAAGCUGUGCCUCCUAAUGUCCUGUCUAAGUGGAUGUCUCUCUGUCUGAUGAAGCGUGAAGUGCUCUGUAACCCUAACAAAAUGACUAUCACUGUGUUCCCGUGAUUCUAAAUGGCCUUCUUCUCGGUGUAACUAUCUCUACCCCCAUCCUGCUCAGUAUGAAAUGGGAAAGUGAAAUGGAGGCCGUCCAUAAAUGGAGUAAUUGUGUGAAGGGCAGGUGUUUAUCGCAGCCUCAGCCCUCACACCGUGUACUGACCAAAACAGUCAAUUAACGAGGCUAAGAUUUAUAUUCCUCACUGUGAACAUACCAAAUAUUGACAAAGUUAGGCCAUCAGCAGUUAUAUAUUCCCUUUUUAAGAUGAAGUCUUGACAGUUUCCUAAGAGAAACUGUGAAACUGUCACAUCCUGUCACUGCUGAUUAAAACUUACACUUAAAAACCAGAUAUGUGCAGUUACUGGAACUGUUUAACCUUCACUAGCUUGAAUAAAUGUUAUUUUACACCAUUAAAUUGGGGUGCAUUUCUUAAUACUGCUUAAAGAACAGGGACUGCAUUUAAGUAAAAAAAAAAGUUUAAAAAAAAUGUUGGUUAUUUGCUGAAAAAUGAGUCAUUCUGUAACAGGUUACAUGUACGUUAUAUUAGGCUGAAAGCUAUUGUUACUUUGAACUUUUUUGUACCUUUUUUUCCCUGACUGAUACUUGAGUGAACAAUCAAAUUGUAGUAAUCUUAAUGCUGGUUCCCAUGAAACAGUCUUUACCAGGUGUCAGUAGUCCACUGUUAAUGCUGCUAAAUAACAUAGCAUGAAAUUAGGGAGGUAGAUAAUUCAUUUAGGUGUUUAGUGUCUCAUGAUAGUCAUGUGGUGUAGGAAGGAAUUUCACAUCAAUGUGUCAAAAUUGUACCCUUUUUUUUAACUGAAUGGAUUGAACUGAAGACCAAUAUUUAUUAGUUAUUGAGACAUUGUAAUAGAGAAAUGGUUAAUAAAUUUUUAGUCUAA
Molecule: long non-coding RNA, 3982 nt
Organism: Melanotaenia boesemani (Boeseman's rainbowfish)
Lineage: Eukaryota; Metazoa; Chordata; Actinopteri; Atheriniformes; Melanotaeniidae
Exons: 2
Source: RefSeq, a predicted model, not a curated record